RNAcentral lists this unclassified non-coding RNA (332 nucleotides) under soil metagenome. RNAcentral's name for it is "partial contains 5.8S ribosomal RNA, internal transcribed spacer 2, and large subunit ribosomal RNA". The stretch from base 1 to 120 matches the Rfam family "5.8S ribosomal RNA", at positions 35 to 154 of the family's 154-position model. The record is from RNAcentral.
GAUGAAGAACGUAGCGAAAUGCGAUAAGUAGUGUGAAUUGCAGAAUUCAGUGAAUCAUCGAAUCUUUGAACGCACAUUGCGCCCUUUGGUAUUCCUUAGGGCAUGCCUGUUCGAGCGUCAUUUAAACCUUCAAGCUAAGCUUGGUGUUGGGUGACUGUCCGCUUCACGGCGGACUCGCCUCAUAAUUAUUGGCGGCCGGUACAUUGGCUUCGAGCGCAGCAGAAACGCGAACUCGGGCCCGUCGUAUUGGCUCCCAGAAGCUAUCUUCACAAUUUUGACCUCGGAUCAGGUAGGGAUACCCGCUGAACUUAAGCAUAUCAAUAAGCGGAGGA